ACAGGGUGAAGACAGCCUUUUUCUCAAACGUCAUUCGCGUUCUUGAAUGUGUGUUUACGCUUUCUCAGUUUUCUAAGUGUCAAAUUUCAAGAGUUAAUUUACGAGUUUUGAAGUGCUUAGGGUUCAACGUGAGUAAUUCAAAAGGACCAUUCAUGCUCUAAUUUCCAAAAAAUCAUUUGGGAUGUUUACUUAACUCCAAUUUUAUGACUUUUUGACCCAAAAGUAACACUACACAGCCAGGAAAACCAUUUCAAACACCCGGACGUUCCAAGGGCAAAAGGGGAAUGACGUCUCGAACGCCGUCCAUCUGGUUCACCUCGACCCAAAAGAAGAUUCCAAAGGAUGGUUCCGUUUGAUAAUUUACGCCUUGGAACCUGACAGGUGACUCUAAGUCCAUGGGGUUGACAACGAUCUCGAGCACCCUGUAGGCAUGGCAGCCCACAUGAUGCAACCCUGACUCCUGGAUAACCUGAAGGCAAAUCCAGCAUCUUUCGGCAGGAAAAUUAAAAAACGGCUCAGACCCACACCCUACACAAAGACGAGGAGCAAAAAGGUUUGUUAUUCCGACGAAAUAGAGAGUCCUCAUUUCCCAUUGAUGACGAAUUGGCAGUAAUCCUUGUUGGGCACAGUUAACAGACCUCCAAAUCCAACCCUCAGGACCUUGGGCUACCGAAAUCUGACCAUAUACAUGCCGGAUUAGAACGUUAACUUCAGGAAUGAUGUCUGGGAGACACAAGCAGUUCCAGUGCUGGUCUUAAAUCCCGGAUAUUUUGAAAUUUCUCUGAUAAAUAAUUCAGAGCACAAUACACCAACAGGGAGAUGAGAAUCAUUUCAAUCAUUUUGACAAGUCACAACAUCAGCUCACUUUUAUGCAAGGAAAAUAAAAGAAAACGAAAAGAAUUUUCGAGAUCCAGAAUCAAUGUAAGAUUCGAUAGGAAUGAAGAUUUGAACGAGCUUCACCGGUUCUGUAGUGGGGGAAAAGAACCCAACUUUUCGGAAUAUCAGUUGCAGGUUAAUUAGGUCUGAAGAUAGUGGCAAGCGGAUAAAUUAAGCUAUAGCACUCAUAGCUUUUUAUUACCAAUUCUAGGAGUGUACUGAUUUUAUUAUUUUUGCAUUCAAAAUGGCGUCUCUCGCGAGCCAGCGAGUGCACAUUGUCAAGCCUCAGAAAGAGCUCCUGCAAAUGCAUCGUAUACGUCUUAUUAGGCUGAUUGGGAGAGAAGCUUGUUGGAAAAUUAGCAUCUCUACCAUAAACUAAAGUGAAGGGAGCAAAGCCUGUUUCCUUGUGAACAUUCACAUUAUAAGAGAAAACUGCAAAUCGAAUCCAAUCAUCCCAGUCAAAUUUUCCUUCGAAACUUCUGAGAUAUUCAAUCAAGCAAAUCUAGAAGCCUGUUUUCUUUAGUCAGCAGAAAGUUUACAAUCCUCAGAAUAAAUUUCAAAAUAUUCUUCAAGUUCAACUGGUGGUAUUGUUAAAUUUAUUUACUGAUUAUUGGAAUUUAUAAAGAAGAUUUUAGCAGUUCCGUUUUCAUUAAAAAUCAAAGACUCACCCGCAAAAAUUCCAGGGCCACAAUGAAUUCUACGUAAACUGAUUGUCUUAUGGGAGUCAAACGGAAAAUUAAUAUUUCCUAUUUGAAGCAGUCACUUUCAAAAUUUACAAUGGCGUUGUGUUUUUUGAGGAAAGGAAUACCAAGGAUAUCUUCUUGAGGAAUGGGAAAUGAUUCUGAUACAACGUGGAAAGAAGCUUCGAGACCCCUUAUGAUCAACCUGAUUUCAUCGAUAGUGGCAACCACUUCCGGGCCUAUUCCAACCAAAUGAAUUAUUCGCUUUUUAUUUAUCCAAACCGUGGGACUCACCACAUUUUCUUUAAUUAAGUUCACUCCAGCACCAAUAUCAAAUAAAAAGAUCACCUUAUUCUUUGAAAAAGAAAAAUGAUCAAAUUCUACUGUCGCAUUUGGACCGAAUUCAUUAAACUGUCCGAGUGAGAGGAUGAUGCGCUGGGUUGAGAGGGGUUUACACUUGGAGUCGUCUGGCCUCUCGCCAGACAACCCGCGUCGAAGUUUAAAUGACUCAAAUUUGAUUUUUGUCUAAAUUUAGACCGUUCCCUUUCAUGCCUUCUUUUAAUGUUACAAUUCUCUACAGAAUGGUUACUUCGAUAACAAUAACUAAAAUCCGUACUCUCUUUGUCCUUUACAUUUCUUUUAAUCUUUUUUGGACAGUUUCGCUUAUAAUGUCCAAAUUCUUUACAAUGAUAACACUGCACAGACUCUAAAUUUCGUACAGGCUUAGUAUCAUCCUCUACUCGUAUAUGAGCUACUCUCUUUAAUAUAUCUUGCCCUACUUUAUUCAUUAAAAUAGAUCCCGAUGAGGUAGAUGGAAUGAAGCCAGACAUAGAUCCAUGAACUCUUCCCCAACUUUUCACUUUUUGAUCGGCUUUAAUGGCUAAUGCAAUACCAUCAUCCAAAGUGUUAAUUUCUUUAUCAUCAAUGGCCAUAUAAAUGUUGAAAUCUAAUCCGCGUAAAAAAUUACCAAUCACAGUCUCUUUAUACGCUUCACAACGGCCCAUACCUCUUACUCCGGGGGUGUUUUCCAUUACUUGAGAAGUUAAUUUAUUGAAAAUUUGAUUAAUGCGAGCCCCAUAUUCUUGAAUUGACUCAUCCAGUUUCCUCUUAACGUUAGCUAAAGUCUGUAAAAUUUGACUUACAUCUUCUUCCUGGGCGUAAAUACGUUCCAGAGUUUUUAAGAUGUCAUUUGGUUCGAAAUCGCUUUUAUCUUGAAUAUGAUAACGCGCUUCGCCGGUCUCAUGUCUAUGCAAAUCAUUCCAACCCUCGCCACUUUGAUCUGAACUCAAAGAAUUUGUGCUAUCACUAUCAGAAGGAUUUUCGCUCACUACUAAUCUGGAUCGCAAUUCUUGAACUUCGUUCACAUCUUUCGCAUUAUUAUCUAAACGACGUUUCCUAUUCGGGGCCAUGUUACAAAAAAAAAAAAUUUCUAAAGACUUACUCUUUUGACGACAAUAUUUUGCAGACAAAUAAUCCAAUUAAUAGUGCAGAAUAAAAUUCACAACACUGUUGACCUUAAUUUUUCACAUUUAUUCACUCAAUUCUUCAUUGCUCCAGGAAGAUUUUCUGAAUUGCUUGAGUGUCCUUGAUCCUUCAGGAAUUUCCUUCGGGUAGUUGUUAUUGAUUUCUCUGCGGUUGAUCCUACGGUGCCAUACUUCCUUCCGUUUUGGGCAGAUAAUUCAGCAUCAAUUUUUUAUUAUCCACGUUGAGGUAAGGAUUUUCUUAUUAAAAAUUUAUAUGAUCCAUUUAGGCCUACGGUUAUUGAGGAAUAGUUUGGUGGUCUCUAGUUAACCGUUAACAACCUUGGUGCAAUUGUCGACACCCUAUGCUACCGGGAGUGAAACCACCCGAAAACCCUGGUAGAAGAUUGCGGCUUUUAUUUUAUAAUGUUUAUUGUUAUAAAUUGAUAAUACUGUUCCAUUCAUUUUUUAGAUUCAAAAGACAGCGCCUUUUAUCUGUGGAGUAGUCUCGUUUGUGGUAAGACGAACAGCCUUGAAUUUCAAUCAGUGAGUCAGUAGUCCAGAGACCCAGUUUUUCUUCAAUUUAUUUGAUUUAUUCCUUUAUGGUGCAACACAUCCCACCGCUGUCAUCAAUUGUAAUGCCCAAAUUUCACCUAGAUUUUCCAUCGACAAUUCACUGCUCUCUGAUUGGACAUCUGAACGGGAUCGUUGUUGCCGUUGAUUCGUUGAAACGAAAACCAUUAAAGGAACUUAUUU
Molecule: long non-coding RNA, 3772 nt
Organism: Belonocnema kinseyi
Lineage: Eukaryota; Metazoa; Arthropoda; Insecta; Hymenoptera; Cynipidae
Exons: 7
Source: RefSeq, a predicted model, not a curated record